RNAcentral lists this transfer RNA (73 nucleotides) under Bos taurus (domestic cattle). It matches the Rfam family "tRNA". Rfam says of the family: Transfer RNA (tRNA) molecules are approximately 80 nucleotides in length. Their secondary structure includes four short double-helical elements and three loops (D, anti-codon, and T loops). Further hydrogen bonds mediate the characteristic L-shaped molecular structure. tRNAs have two regions of fundamental functional importance: the anti-codon, which is responsible for specific mRNA codon recognition, and the 3' end, to which the tRNAs corresponding amino acid is attached (by aminoacyl-tRNA synthetases). tRNAs cope with the degeneracy of the genetic code in two manners: having more than one tRNA (with a specific anti-codon) for a particular amino acid; and 'wobble' base-pairing, i.e. permitting non-standard base-pairing at the 3rd anti-codon position. The record is from Rfam by way of RNAcentral. Lineage: Eukaryota; Metazoa; Chordata; Mammalia; Artiodactyla; Bovidae. RNAcentral also lists the same sequence under 5 other names.
UCCCUGGUGGUCCAAUGGUUAAAAACUCUGCCUUCCAAUGCAAGGGGUGCAGGUUCAAUCCCUGUCUGGGGAA